UUGCACUUCAUCGAUUACGUUAAACGGUCAGGUAAAAAAUAAAUUUUCUACUUUAACGAGAACAGUUUCAUUAGACUAAAAAACGUGUCGGUAUUCGAUUCGAAUCAGCAGUAUUGUAAUAUCUAUGUCCGCUAAAUCCUUUGCUUGAAUCAACCGGUUUGUCUAUAUCGUUUUGGAAAAGUUGAGUUCGUAAAGAGAACAUAAAAAACUGAAAAAACUGCGUUAUCAUUGGUCUUUGACUCGUAAUAUCUCGUGAAUAUUAGUUGCAAAAUUAUAACAGGUAUAGCAUGGUAUUUCAAGAGUACGAAAAACUCGAGGCCCCUGUUUUAUUGUUCGUGGUAAAGAUAGUGUGAUAUGCGAAUGUGAGUUCGAAGGCAGUCGGAAUAUAUUUCUUCAGGCAUAGGUGCGACCUCCAUCGCGGUGGUUUUUACUUGGAAAACCAACGCUCACAAAGACGAGGAAAAAUACGGCGAUGGAACGACGAGACCUCUCAAUCAUCUCAUGCAUAGGAGCAUCCGUGAUACACGACUCCGGCAUAAACGCGAAGCGAAGUUUGUCUUACGAGUCAACGAAAACAGCUCGGCUAACAGACGCAAGGACCGUGGGGCAAGGACGUAAAUAGAGCAUGCUGCCUGUCAAGUGGAUUCGUCUUUAACUCCAGCUCUGGAUUUAUCAUUCGUAAUUCCACUCCGAAGCUCUUCAAUAGUUCGGAAACUUGACUACAUUCGGGAAACGCGUUAUUAUUUAAAUGGAGUAAGAGCAUUCGUUAUAUAAAUGGCUCGUAAUCAAGAGACGUGAAUAUGCAAAUGUGUGGGCUUUACACGAUCUGAAAUCGUCUCACGGACGAACCGCUUGAAUAAAAAUUCUGCAUGAAUAUUCUUAAAGUGCUGAGCACUGUUAAUGGACCAACUCAUGAAAAGAUGAAAAUCAUCCAAAAAAGAUAAUGAUUAAUAUAAAAGAAUCAAGUAAUUUCAAACUGUGGCAGUACGUUAUCAGGUUUUGUCAAAUGAAUUUCAUAAAAUGGAAAUGAUUGGAUGAUAAAUUCGGUUAAAUAUCCGAGAGCAAUCAAAUGAUUUUUUGACAAAAUGUGUAGACGACUGAAUAAAAUGAAAAUUGAUUGCACUAUUUAAUGAUUGUUAGACACGAAGACGCGAGUUACAAAUGUCAGGAUGAAUGAGGCAGGAGCAUGAGAAAAAAGGAAGAUGAGGAGAAAGAGUAACGGAGAUAUAUUUAUGCGAAUGGUAUACGCUAAUGGCCACAUGCUCGUAAUUGUACCAACGGUGAGGGCUCUUCAGCAUUUACCUUUUAUAUCUGGCAUCACGAGAGUUAAGAGCUUGUAGGUGACUCUUGCUUCCUCCAACAUUUUUUGCCAGUAAAUCAACGAGACAAAAACUCGUAGUAGUUCUCGUUCUCGAGGAUUUCUAUACGGAGAUCAUAUAAACAGCAGGGUUUGUUAUCGUCUCUGGUGCACUUUGCGAAUGUUCGACGUCAGCAAACUCACAAAAUCGAUCAUGGGCCCUAAAUGGAUGCGAACUCACGGAUCGUAAAAUAAUACAGAGGGGGCACACGGGAAUUCGAAAAAUCUGAUACCCUGCAAGUGCUUCAUUAUACAGCCUCGACGAUAUACGAGCAGACUAAAAAAGUGACAGAUGGCGAGGGUCGCAGCGCAGGUCAUUUCAUGGUGGAACGCGGUGUAUGUUCCCUACCCAGCACGUAUGUAUAAUAUAGUUAUUGGAUAGAGGCGAAAGAAGACGUUAACGUUUGUGUCGAAUUAACCGCGAUAAUCGCGCGUUCAACACAUGUCGAAUGUGCGAUAAAUGGCGAACCACGAACAUAGAAAAGAAGUCGCUAGGAGGCGAGCCAGCUUUUAAUGUGGAAACUUCUACUUUUAUUGUCACAUCAAUUUCUUUUUAUUUCGAGUUACUCCUGAUGAAUCUUACAUAUUUCUUUGAGGUUUGCACUCGUGCAUUAGCCAUCACACAUCUUUAGAGCUCUGGCACAAGCUUGGAGUCAAGAAAGCUGCUGCCAUCAUUGACCUCAUUUUAUAGAGCACCAAAUUUCCUACAAAAAAGUUACCAAACACUUUUUUGUUUGUUUUGUUAAGCUUUUUUUCAAUUUGAAAGAAUUUCUCGUUCGAUUUUCGGGAUCGAGUCUUACUCGAUCCCGAUACUCGAGACAGUAAAUUUGUCAUACAAGAACUUUCCUUUCAGAAAAUUCUUAAUGCAAGUUUCCUUUUUAUUCAACUGUUUUUACACAGUAUUCAGGACGAAAUGACCCAGCUUUAUUAAUGGCUUAUUAAACUAAAGUCAGAUCGGAAAAAUGUGGAGUAAAUAUUUCGUAUUGACGUUCGAAUAUCGCACUUUAUAGUAGUCUCGUUCAACGUGGGACAAGCCAAUAGCUGUGUCUAUAUAUGUGGAGUGAUUAUACGGGAAUAUAAGACGAGGACAAAGAUCUUUUUCCCGCCUACUGGGAGACCAAGCCUCGAAGGGAUAUGCGAUUUCACGGGUAUUGAAGCACAAUGGAGACCGUCGGAAACAAUGAAUAAUAGAAAACAUGCAAAGAGGGCGCACUAUAUAGCUCUGCGACCGCUAAACUCUGCAAUUGGGACGUAUUACAAAACAAUCUGUUCAACACUGAGAAACGAAAUAUUGAAAAAAAAAGAUAGAUAAAAAGGAAAGCAAUUGAAAUAUUGCCUUUCUGUACAGCCAUCGAAAAUACAUUGCCUCACUUGAAAGAUUCCAUCGUGAAAAUACGCAAAUAUUUCUAUUAAAAUCCUCAAGAUCAUCGGCCACAGCGAUUAACAGGAUUUUUAGUAAUAACUGCGCGCGUCCAAGAGGUGCCCAUGAUUGAGCA
Molecule: long non-coding RNA, 2853 nt
Organism: Venturia canescens
Lineage: Eukaryota; Metazoa; Arthropoda; Insecta; Hymenoptera; Ichneumonidae
Exons: 4
Source: RefSeq, a predicted model, not a curated record